Molecule: ribosomal RNA, 253 nt
Filed under: uncultured bacterium
Lineage: Bacteria
Description: partial 16S ribosomal RNA
Rfam family: Bacterial small subunit ribosomal RNA
Source: RNAcentral
UACGGAGGAUCCAAGCGUUCUCCGGAUUUAUUGGGUUUAAAGGGUGCGUAGGUGGCUUUUUAAGUCAGGGGUGAAAGACGGUAGCUUAACUAUCGCAGUGCCUUUGAUACUGAAGAGCUUGAAUGAACUAGAGGUAGGCGGAAUGUGACAAGUAGCGGUGAAAUGCAUAGAUAUGUCACAGAACACCAAUUGCGAAGGCAGCUUACUAUGGUUUUAUUGACACUGAGGCACGAAAGCGUGGGGAGCAAACAGG